This 533-nucleotide ribosomal RNA is filed under the name uncultured bacterium. Its description in RNAcentral is "bacterial SSU rRNA". It matches the Rfam family "Bacterial small subunit ribosomal RNA", at positions 28 to 526 of the family's 1533-position model. The record is from RNAcentral.
GAUGAACGCUGGCGGCGUGCCUAAUACAUGCAAGUCGAACGAGAUUUUAUUAAUUGAUUACUUCGGUAUGAUUUUUCUAAAAUCGAGUGGCGGACGGGUGAGUAACACGUGGGUAACCUGCCCUUAAGUAGGGGAUAACAUUUGGAAACAGAUGCUAAUACCGUAUAAACCUCAGAAACACAUGUUUCUGAGUUGAAAGGCGGCUUUCGAGCUGUCGCUUUUGGAUGGACCCGCGGCGUAUUAGCUAGUUGGUGAGGUAAAGGCUCACCAAGGCAGUGAUACGUAGCCGACCUGAGAGGGUGAUCGGCCACAUUGGGACUGAGACACGGCCCAAACUCCUACGGGAGGCAGCAGUAGGGAAUCUUCCACAAUGGACGAAAGUCUGAUGGAGCAACGCCGCGUGAGUGAAGAAGGUUUUCGGAUCGUAAAACUCUGUUGUUGGAGAAGAACACGUUUGAGAGUAACUGUUCAGACGUUGACGGUAUCCAACCAGAAAGCCACGGCUAACUACGUGCCAGCCGCCGCCGUAACAC